Molecule: transfer RNA, 73 nt
Filed under: Canis lupus familiaris (dog)
Lineage: Eukaryota; Metazoa; Chordata; Mammalia; Carnivora; Canidae
Also listed under: 3 other names
Rfam family: tRNA
About the family: Transfer RNA (tRNA) molecules are approximately 80 nucleotides in length. Their secondary structure includes four short double-helical elements and three loops (D, anti-codon, and T loops).
Source: Rfam by way of RNAcentral
ACCUGGCUGGCUCAGUCGGUAGAGCAAGGGACUUUUGAUCUCAGGGUUGUGAGUUUGAGGUCCAUGUUGGGUA